GGAACUGUGGCUCAGUGGUAGAGUGCUUGGCUAGCAUACAUGAAGCCUUAGGUUUGAUUCCUCAGUACCA
Non-coding RNA from Dipodomys ordii (Ord's kangaroo rat), 70 nucleotides. Lineage: Eukaryota; Metazoa; Chordata; Mammalia; Rodentia; Heteromyidae. The record is from Rfam.